This 253-nucleotide ribosomal RNA is filed under the name uncultured bacterium. RNAcentral's name for it is "partial 16S ribosomal RNA". It matches the Rfam family "Bacterial small subunit ribosomal RNA", at positions 524 to 776 of the family's 1533-position model. The record is from RNAcentral.
UACGGAGGGUCCAAGCGUUAUCCGGAAUCAUUGGGUUUAAAGGGUCCGUAGGCGGGUCUGUAAGUCAGUGGUGAAAUCUCCCGGCUCAACCGGGAAAUGGCCAUUGAUACUGCAGGUCUUGAGUUAUUGGGAAGUAACUAGAAUAUGUAGUGUAGCGGUGAAAUGCUUAGAGAUUACAUGGAAGACCAAUUGCGAAGGCAGGUUACUAUCAAGAUAUUGACGCUGAGGGACGAAAGCGUGGGUAGCGAACAGG